Molecule: unclassified non-coding RNA, 3451 nt
Filed under: Apis dorsata (giant honeybee)
Lineage: Eukaryota; Metazoa; Arthropoda; Insecta; Hymenoptera; Apidae
Description: protein retinal degeneration B, transcript variant X11
Source: RNAcentral
GUCGCGCGUGUCAAUGGGCCCGCCAAUCGAAACCUUCUCUCUGUCAGUCAGUGCCCGCGCGUUGCUCAUGUAACAUCGUGAUAUUUUUACCUUGCGUUUAUUCUCCACAAUCCUUGGAUAAAUCCUCGAUUGCUUUAUUUUUUCCAGUAUUACGUCAAUGAUAUCAUGAAUGAUAAGAGGAAAGAAACAACCUUGGGACGAUCUAUAUCUACUAGAGUGGCUAGAGAAUAAAUAACAGCGGCAAAAUGUUGAUAAAAGAAUAUCGAAUACCGCUGCCUCUUACCGUAGAAGAAUAUAGAAUUGCUCAGCUUUACAUGAUAGCGAAAAAAUCUAGAGAAGAAAGUCAAGGAGCAGGCAGCGGUGUAGAAAUAAUAGUAAAUGAACCCUAUAGUAAUGGUCCAGGAGGAAAUGGGCAAUAUACUCAUAAAAUUUAUCAUGUGGGCAGUCAUCUUCCAGAAUGGUUCAAGAGUUUGUUACCUAGAUCCGCAUUAAUCGCCAAGGAAGAAGCAUGGAAUGCUUAUCCUUACACAAAAACUCGUUAUACUUGUCCUUUUGUUGAAAAGUUUUCUAUCGAAAUAGAAACGUACUAUUUUCCUGACAAUGGUUACCAAGAAAAUGUCUUCAAACUCAGUGGUAGUGAUUUGAGAAAUAGAAUUGUAGAUGUAAUUGACAUUGUAAAGGAUCAAUAUACGGGUGACUAUGUGAAAGAAGAGGAUCCUAAAUUAUAUGUGUCUCAGAAAACUAAUCGAGGACCUCUUACGGAAUCAUGGCUAGAAGAAUACUGGGCUGAUGUAAAAGGAAAGCAACAACCGACAUCAUCCGGAAAAUCGUUAAUGUGUGCAUACAAGUUAUGCCGUGUAGAGUUCCGUUAUUGGGGUGUACAAACCAAAUUAGAAAAGUUUAUACAUGAUAUAGCUUUGCGAAAAACCAUGGUUAGAGCUCAUAGACAAGCUUGGGCUUGGCAAGAUGAAUGGAACGGUUUGACCAUGGAAAAUAUUCGAGAAAUUGAACGACAAACACAAUUGGCAUUGCAAAAGAGGAUGGCUAACGCAGAGGACGGUGAAGAAUCCCCGAACGACAAUCAAGAGAAAUCUAUUUCCAAUACGACGAUGACUCCUCAAGAAUCAGAUGUUGCUAUGACGUUGGCUGCCACACUUGGAAGCAUCGAGAAAAAUGAAGAUUUCCAAAGUCCCACAAGUGCUAGAAAAUCAUCUGAUAUACCAAUGACAAAUACAGCUAUCAGUUCGGAAGGUGAAGUUAGUCCCGAAGAUUCGCCGACUGAAGUACCCGAGCUUAGAAAUGCUCCUGAAGAAAAAGCAGAUGCAAAGAAGUCAUGGAAGAAGAAUAAAGCGGCAAUGAAUUCGCCAUGCUCGAAUAAAAAUUUUGAUAUGCAAAUAGCAAAUUGGCGCAUGGAAAGUAUCGUGAGAGAAUCCGAAUCUGAUAGUGAAGAUGAGUUUUUUGACUGCCAAGCUGGGUUCAUUAUACCUAUUAUAUGCGAAGAAGAGGACGACAAUACGUUCACUUCGUCCACUAUGGCAAACAAAGAAGACGACACAAUAUUUUCACCUUCAUAUCUACAACGAAUGGCUAGUGAACGUAGCAGUAAAAGAUUGCAAAUUUCUACUUCAGCCAGUAUUGAUGUCUCAUAUCCAGCUUCACCUCAACAUUCUCCAACCCAUCAACCAUGCAAAACUACUGUUCUUCUUAUUGUAAUGCAUGCAGGAAGUGUAUUAGAUGCUAAUGUUGAUUUAACAGCGAAAAAAUCAGAUAUCACAACUUUCAAAGGAGCCUUCGAAUCUGUAAUGAGACAACGUUAUUCCAGUAUGGUCGGACAUGUUGCUAUUAAGUUCGUUUCCUGUCCAUCAAUUUGCACUGAAGGUCUUGGUAUUUUAUCGAGUUUAAGUCCCUAUAGUUUCGAUGUUUCACCUUCCUCUGUGGAUACUCCUCAAGUAACACACGAUACUAUUCCAAUCGGCGCUAUACCUCUGCUUGCUAGUUCUACUUCUGAAUAUCAGGAUGCUGUCUCACGAGUUAUAGCAGGAGCGAAUCAAGUUUAUCAUGAUUUUAUCAAAAGCGAAGAAGGUCGUGGUUUUACGGGACAGAUUUGCUUUAUUGGAGAUUCAGUAGGAGCGAUUUUAACAUAUGACGCUUUGUGUAGAUCUGUUCAUUCUAGACAUAAUAGCGAGAACAAUAUUUUGGAUAAUCAAGGCAUUGAGAAUAGCAUGAACACUGAAAAUGGCAAACACUUGACUGCACCUUCUCCUAGAAGGAAAUCUUCUAGUACAUGUGAGGGUUCACAUUCUAAAUUGGAUUUUGAUGUAGGAGAAUUUUUCAUGUUUGGUAGUCCACUUGCUCUAGUAUUAGCAUAUAGAAAAAUUUCUGCGGAUAAAUCUACUAAUAUAAAAAGACCAUUGGUGAAUCAAUUAUAUAACUUAUUUCAUCCUACUGAUCCAGUAGCCGCUAGAUUAGAACCACUCAUUUCUGCAAGAUUUUCUCUUCUUCCGCCUGUGAAUAUAGCUCAAUAUCAAAAGUAUCCAUUAGGAAAUGGGCAGCCUUAUCAUUUGUUGGAAGCUAUUCAAACAAAUCCACAAUUAUUUACGGAUGGAUUAAACAUUCCAAAUAUGUCAAUGUCCCAUUUGAGACGAUUGUCCGAUAUAUCGAUUCACAGUACGAUGUCUGGUGUAGUUGACAAUGUUCCUUUGCAAGUAAUAUCAAAUUUAACACAAAAAUGGUGGGGUACAAAGAGAUUAGAUUAUGCUCUCUAUUGCCCUGAGGGUUUAGCAAAUUUUCCUACAAAUGCUUUACCUCAUCUUUUUCACGCCAGUUAUUGGGAAUCUUUUGAUGUUAUUGCAUUUAUUCUACGACAAUUAGGCAGAUUUGAUUUACCAUUACUCGCAAAUGAAGAGAAAGAAUUAACUUGUUUCCGUCCAGGUCAACCUAGAGAGAAGUGGAAUAAGAAACGUACUUCUGUUAAACUUAAGAAUGUUGCUGCCAAUCAUAGAGCAAAUGAUGUAAUUGUUAGAGAAGGAGCACCUCAAGUGCUGAUUGCUAGAUUUAUGUAUAGUCCAAUUGACGUUAUUGCUUUAACUGGCGAAAAAGUGGAUAUUCAUAUUAUGAAGGAUGCUCCUGCAGGGGAAUGGACAUAUUUAUCAACUGAAAUAACUGAUAAGAAUGGUAGAAUAACAUAUAAAAUACCUGAUGAUAAAGCAUUGGGAUAUGGUCUUUAUAAUAUUUGGUUUUCAGAGGUGAUCAUACAUUCGUAGAUUUCUUCUUGACUGUGAUCCCACCAAAAACAGAAUGCGUAGUAUUUAGUAUAGAUGGCUCAUUUACUGCGAGUAUGUCUGUAAGUGGAAAAGAUCCGAAAGUUAGAGCUGGAGCUGUUGAUAUUGUUAGGCAUUGGCAAGAACUGGGAUACUUAAUUAUAUAUAUUACCGCAAGACCUGAUAUGCAA